Dipodomys spectabilis (banner-tailed kangaroo rat) is the source of this 107-nucleotide long non-coding RNA. RefSeq lists it as uncharacterized. Lineage: Eukaryota; Metazoa; Chordata; Mammalia; Rodentia; Heteromyidae. The record is from RefSeq and is a predicted model, not a curated record. The transcript is spliced from 3 exons.
GUUUUUGGGUUGUUUUGUCUACUUCAGCGUUGAGGGAAGUCUACUCGGUCCACAAAUGUGCAGACAGCCACAAGAGGUCAUCUCACGGCUUCUCCUCCUGAGUAGCU